UACGUAGGGUGCGAGCGUUAAUCGGAAUAACUGGGCGUAAAGGGUGCGCAGGCGGUUAUUUAAGUUAGAAGUGAAAGUCCCGGGCUCAACCUGGGGAGGUCUUUUAAUACUGGAUAUCUAGAGUUAGUCAGAGGGGGGUGGAAUUCCAAGUGUAGCAGUGAAAUGCGUAGAUAUCGAAAAGAAGACCAGUGGCGAAGGCUGGGUCCUGGGUAGCAACUGACACUGAGGCACGAAGGCCAGGGGAGCAAACGGG
Molecule: ribosomal RNA, 253 nt
Filed under: uncultured bacterium
Lineage: Bacteria
Description: partial 16S ribosomal RNA
Rfam family: Bacterial small subunit ribosomal RNA
Source: RNAcentral